UACGGGGGGAGCAAGCGUUGUUCGGAUUUACUGGGCGUAAAGGGCGCGUAGGCGGCCAGCACAAGUCAGUUGUGAAAUCUCCGAGCUUAACUCGGAAAGGUCAACUGAUACUGUGCGGCUAGAGUGCGGAAGGGGCAACUGGAAUUCUUGGUGUAGCGGUGAAAUGCGUAGAUAUUCGGAGGAACACCAGUGGCGAAGGCGGCUCACUGGUCCAUUACUGACGCUGAGGUGCGAAAGCGUGGGGAGCAAACAGG
This 254-nucleotide ribosomal RNA is filed under the name uncultured bacterium. RNAcentral's name for it is "partial 16S ribosomal RNA". It matches the Rfam family "Bacterial small subunit ribosomal RNA", at positions 524 to 776 of the family's 1533-position model. The record is from RNAcentral.